UACGAAGGGGGCUAGCGUUGCUCGGAUUUACUGGGCGUAAAGGGCGCGUAGGCGGAUGUUUAAGUUGGGGGUGAAAGCCCGGGGCUCAACCUCGGAAUAGCCUUCAAUACUGGACAUCUUGAGUACGGGAGAGGUGAGUGGAACUCCGAGUGUAGAGGUGAAAUUCGUAGAUAUUCGGAAGAACACCAGUGGCGAAGGAGACUCACUGGCCCGUUACUGACGCUGAGGCGCGAAAGCGUGGGGAGCAAACAGG
RNAcentral lists this ribosomal RNA (253 nucleotides) under uncultured bacterium. Its description in RNAcentral is "partial 16S ribosomal RNA". It matches the Rfam family "Bacterial small subunit ribosomal RNA", at positions 524 to 776 of the family's 1533-position model. The record is from RNAcentral.